This 253-nucleotide ribosomal RNA is filed under the name uncultured bacterium. Its description in RNAcentral is "partial 16S ribosomal RNA". It matches the Rfam family "Bacterial small subunit ribosomal RNA", at positions 524 to 776 of the family's 1533-position model. The record is from RNAcentral.
UACAGAGGGUGCAAGCGUUAAUCGGAAUUACUGGGCGUAAAGCGUGCGCAGGCGGUCUUUUAAGUCAGAUGUGAAAUCCCCGGGCUUAACCUGGGAACUGCGUUUGAAACUGAAAGGCUAGAGUGUGGCAGAGGGGGGUGGAAUUCCACGUGUAGCAGUGAAAUGCGUAGAGAUGUGGAGGAACACCGAUGGCGAAGGCAGCCCCCUGGGCUAACACUGACGCUCAUGCACGAAAGCGUGGGGAGCAAACAGG